UGAGUAACACGUAUCCAACCUGCCGUCUACUCUUGGACAGCCUUCUGAAAGGAAGAUUAAUACAAGAUGGCAUCAUGAGUUCACAUGUUCACAUGAUUAAAGGUAUUCCGGUAGACGAUGGGGAUGCGUUCCAUUAGAUAGUAGGCGGGGUAACGGUCCACCUAGUCUUCGAUGGAUAGGGGUUCUGAGAGGAAGGUCCCCCACAUUGGAACUGAGACACGGUCCAA
This 227-nucleotide ribosomal RNA is filed under the name uncultured bacterium. RNAcentral describes it as "partial 16S ribosomal RNA". It matches the Rfam family "Bacterial small subunit ribosomal RNA", at positions 107 to 334 of the family's 1533-position model. The record is from RNAcentral.